This 1372-nucleotide ribosomal RNA is filed under the name uncultured bacterium. RNAcentral's name for it is "bacterial SSU rRNA". It matches the Rfam family "Bacterial small subunit ribosomal RNA", at positions 28 to 1381 of the family's 1533-position model. The record is from RNAcentral.
GAUGAACGCUGGCGGCGUGCCUAAUACAUGCAAGUCGAGCGAACGGACGAGAAGCUUGCUUCUCUGAUGUUAGCGGCGGACGGGUGAGUAACACGUGGAUAACCUACCUAUAAGACUGGGAUAACUUCGGGAAACCGGAGCUAAUACCGGAUAAUAUUUUGAACCGCAUGGUUCAAAAGUGAAAGACGGUCUUGCUGUCACUUAUAGAUGGAUCCGCGCUGCAUUAGCUAGUUGGUAAGGUAACGGCUUACCAAGGCAACGAUGCAUAGCCGACCUGAGAGGGUGAUCGGCCACACUGGAACUGAGACACGGUCCAGACUCCUACGGGAGGCAGCAGUAGGGAAUCUUCCGCAAUGGGCGAAAGCCUGACGGAGCAACGCCGCGCGAGUGAUGAAGGUCUUCGGAUCGUAAAACUCUGUUAUUAGGGAAGAACAUAUGUGUAAGUAACUGUGCACAUCUUGACGGUACCUAAUCAGAAAGCCACGGCUAACUACGUGCCAGCAGCCGCGGUAAUACGUAGGUGGCAAGCGUUAUCCGGAAUUAUUGGGCGUAAAGCGCGCGUAGGCGGUUUUUUAAGUCUGAUGUGAAAGCCCACGGCUCAACCGUGGAGGGUCAUUGGAAACUGGAAAACUUGAGUGCAGAAGAGGAAAGUGGAAUUCCAUGUGUAGCGGUGAAAUGCGCAGAGAUAUGGAGGAACACCAGUGGCGAAGGCGACUUUCUGGUCUGUAACUGACGCUGAUGUGCGAAAGCGUGGGGAUCAAACAGGAUUAGAUACCCUGGUAGUCCACGCCGUAAACGAUGAGUGCUAAGUGUUAGGGGGUUUCCGCCCCUUAGUGCUGCAGCUAACGCAUUAAGCACUCCGCCUGGGGAGUACGACCGCAAGGUUGAAACUCAAAGGAAUUGACGGGGACCCGCACAAGCGGUGGAGCAUGUGGUUUAAUUCGAAGCAACGCGAAGAACCUUACCAAAUCUUGACAUCCUUUGACAACUCUAGAGAUAGAGCCUUCCCCUUCGGGGGACAAAGUGACAGGUGGUGCAUGGUUGUCGUCAGCUCGUGUCGUGAGAUGUUGGGUUAAGUCCCGCAACGAGCGCAACCCUUAAGCUUAGUUGCCAUCAUUAAGUUGGGCACUCUAAGUUGACUGCCGGUGACAAACCGGAGGAAGGUGGGGAUGACGUCAAAUCAUCAUGCCCCUUAUGAUUUGGGCUACACACGUGCUACAAUGGACAAUACAAAGGGCAGCGAAACCGCGAGGUCAAGCAAAUCCCAUAAAGUUGUUCUCAGUUCGGAUUGUAGUCUGCAACUCGACUACAUGAAGCUGGAAUCGCUAGUAAUCGUAGAUCAGCAUGCUACGGUGAAUACGUUCCCGGGUCU